AAUAACUCUGGUUGUGCUGCUUGAGUCGACUAGUGUAUGCACCACACAAUGAACUGGAAGUGGACAGGGAACUUGAUGGUUUUGAUUUGUUUAUCUCUACUCCUUUUUAUUGAGACCGUCCUUCACCUACUGCCAGUACAGAGCCAACUAUGGCAAAUCUGUUUUUUGAGUUGUUAUAUAGUAGGAAGCUAUUGUUAAAGCCACAUAGUGACCACCUAUAAAUUUCAUCUAUUUUGCACAAGAUCUGAGGAAAUAGGAAAUUUUCUGUGUGGUGAUAUCGCUUAGAGAGUUAAAGAUACAAAUGAAGAUCAGAAUAUUCAGGAUUUUAAGAAUAGAACUUAAAUCAAAGCGCUGUAAGCGCUGAAGGCAGUUAACCAAAAACCAAGGCAACCGUAAUUAUGAAAACUGUGGCAAAGUUGCCUCAACAUUAAACAUUCAUAUAUAGUACAUUUAUGUUUAUCUAAUGAUUUAUUUAUUAAGGCAAAUAAUUUAUAUGUUAUCAAGGUUUCAAAAGCAAUGCAUAUAGCAAUGUAUAUUUUUUAUGGUGAGUCUGCAGUGGUACAAGUUCCCAAUGAUUGCAGUUGUUCUACUUGGUAGUUAACCUUGGUUUUAUUUGACUGCUAGAAGUUCAAGUUGACUUAGUAUGAACAUGUAAUAGUAUGAAUGGACUGGUUUCCCUGAAAAGAAAACUGAAUUUGUGUUCUAUAGUACAAAAGUUAUGAGACACGAAUCAGACAAAUGUUCACUACAACAGGAAUCAAAGGUGAGGUCUGACCGACUUACCCAUAGUAAAUGUAAAUGAUUUUUUUUUUUGUCCCAUACAUAUGAAUAUAUAUAUAAUUUAGGGGUGGGGAUCUCAACGGUUUUCAAGUUCUCAAACAGGUAGGAGGGGAGAGGAUUUUUUUGGGAAAAAAAAUGGUUGCUUAUAUAGGGAAUCACUGAAGCGUGACUGGGAGCGAGCCCCCUCUUAGGUCAGUCAGUGGGCCCCACUUAUGAAAAUUUCUGGAUCCGCCACUGGGGUUAGGGUGACCCUAGGGAUUCCCCUAUAUUUCAUUUAAUUAGUUAUAUUGGCCCAUAUAUGAAUAUAUAUUGUUUUGGUGUGGGGAUCUCGACCGUUUCCAAGUUCUCAAAUAGGAGGGUUAGGGUGACCACAGGGACUUCCCCUAUUUCAUGUGAUUUGUUAUAUUGUCCCAUACAUGAGUAUAUAUGGUUUAGGGUGAGGAUCUUGACCAUUUCCAAGUUCUCAAACAGGAGGGUGUACAGUGACCCCAGGGACUCCCCUAUCUUUCAUUUGAAUUGUUAUAUUUUCCCGUACAUGAAUAUACAUGGUUAAGAGGUGGGGAUCUCAACGGGUUUCAAAUUCUCAAACAGGAGGGGUGGGGUGACCCAAGGUACUCCCCCUAUAUUUCAUCUGAUUUGUUAUAUUGUCCCAUACAUGAAUAUAUAUGGUUUAGGGGUGGGGAUCUCGACCAUUUUUAAAUUAUAAAACAGGAGGGGUGGGGUGACCCAAGGGACUCCCCCUAUAUUUCAUCUGAUUUGUUAUAUUGUCACAAACAUGAAUAUAUAUGCAAAGCAUGGGUUGUUCUCAGCUUAAUAAAGAAUAUUCCGAUAAUUUUACCUCAAAGUUUUUUAGCCUCGCUCGGCUCGGAGAAAAUUUAAGUUUGCGCCCCUCCUAAACUAAAAUCCUGGAUCUGCCCCUCAUAUGGUUUAGGGGUGGGGAGCUCAACCGUUUCCAAGUUAUUAAACAGGAGGGGGUAGAGUGGCCCAAAGGAUGCUACCUAUAUAUCAUAUGAUUUACUUACAUUCAGGUAUAUAUAAUAUAGUUGCAUUAUUUGUGAAAAUAAAGAAAGAAACUUUCAGCUACUUUAAUUGACCCUUCAAAAUUGAGUUAAAAAAAUAACCCUUCGAAAUUGCAGUAAUAUGUUUACACUUAAAAAGCAUCUCACAUGCAUUAUCAUCAUUUAUCACUGAUAAAGAAAAUUUAGACUGUGACCAUGAACAUGUAUAUUGUUAGAUAUACUGUUCCCA
This 2028-nucleotide long non-coding RNA is filed under the name Mytilus galloprovincialis (Mediterranean mussel). The record is from RNAcentral. Lineage: Eukaryota; Metazoa; Mollusca; Bivalvia; Mytilida; Mytilidae.